CAGAUCCUAUAGGCAUGUCACCUACCCUCCUAAUAGAUAAAACAUACAUAAUUACCCCCAACCCUUUUCACUAGCCAACCCCAAAUGUUUACAAAUGAAUACAGACCAAAUACUGAAUUACAUUAGAAAAGUAUAAAAUAAAAAGUUACAACCGUAGGAAGCCUGAUUCCGGCUUCUUCUCUGAGUUAUGGAACAAACCACCUAAAAUGCCACUUGUUUCAAAGCUUUUCUCAGACCUAGGUGUGUCAAAGUUCCCUAAGGGUCUCAAGGGACCCCCGACAACGCUUACACCCAACUUUGCAUAACCAGAUAGAUAUGAGUGCAGUGUGGAAGAGCCAGCCCUUAUGUGUCCAUGUUCAAAGGGAGCUCAAGGAUCCCAAGGAAGCGCUCACACAUGAGGGACAAAACUUAAGUUCCAGGAAUAUAUUGAAGUGCAGAACAUAGAGAUUUAUUUAAAACUAGACUAGGAAAUAGUAUGUGAUAAGGGUGAUGUGAAAACAGUAGUACACAGAAUAAGUACUUACACAAAGGGGUCAGGGGUUUUGGGAAUACAUUGCAUGAAGCAUAUGACCCUAGGAGGGGUCAGGUUUGGACAUGCACAACAUUAGAUAAUGUUGGCAUGUCCGCAAAGCAACGAGAGAACACAAGCACAAAGAGGGGAUAUGGGGUUUGGGAUUCAUACAAGUAAGAGAGAAUUAACUUUAAAAAAGGAAGGGAACACAUUGCCACAUGCUAGUAAUAUAACUUGAUUGCAGAAACAUAAGCAGAAGUGGACAAGCAUGAAACAAGUUGAAACAAUUAUUGAAAUACAUUGUUGUUGAUGCUUGAAAAUUAACUAGGACAUACCAGUAAGAAGCAAGUAACCAAAUUCUCAUAGCCUAGCCUUAGCUUUCAGCCGGUUAGACAAAGCAGUAGCGUAAUUAGUAACAGAGAAAAGAGAGAAUUUUGAGUGAAGUGUGUGUUCUGAACUCGUAUUGUUCGUGUCUUUGAAAAAAAGGUGCAGGGUAUUUAUAGCUUUUGAAAACGAGUAAUAAAUAAGGUAAUAAGUAAAGUCUUAACACAAACAUGGAAACAAUCAUAAUUUACAAUCAAUUAACUGAGUGAUUCCUUUUAAUUAAAGAACCAUGGCUUAACGGGUACUAACUAGUUUCAAUUAAGGAAAGAAAAUCAGUUCGGACAGAUUCAUUAUUUCCAUAAAAGGGGUAGUAAAAGCAUAAAGUAAACAAUCAAGUCUAAGUACAAAGACAUGCUUAUUUUGAAAAAAGAUUCAGCAAUGUAAAAAUAUCACAGCAAAGGAAAAUAAUCAAUUAAUUUUAAACAGGCGAGUGAAAUUAGAGUUCAUAAAUAAAAAAGCUUUUGCAAUCAAUCACAAAACCAAUCAAGGAAAUAACAUGAUUCUACACUUCAGUACAUAAAUAGAGUGAACAGAAGCAUUAGACAUGUGAGGUCAAACACGUUGGCAAAAGAGAUAAUCACAAACAUGCAGUAAUGGCAGAAAUAUGCUAGGAUUCAGUAGUAAAGCAAACACUUGAGGCACAAUAGUCAAGUAGGUCAAGUCACAUAGAAUCAAUAAUGAAGAAAAAACAUAGUAUCGGGUAAAAGAAAUAAGAAACAUGUAAAGGUCUCACAGUAGCAGAUGCGGAAACAUUUUGAGAAGUUAGGGGUUCAACAAAAAUCGAAGUAAAAGAUAGUAAAACUCAAAAUCAAAUAAGUUAAACAAGCACGAACAACUUAAUCAAGCAAGUACACAUUUAAUCUAGAACUCAGAUAAGACUAAAAUAACUAGGGUUUUUAAUAUGUUGAAAUAGAUAGAAGACAAACAUGAGCAAAUAGCAAAAUCAUCAAACAACAUUAAGAUCAGAAAAUAAAACUUAAAGGAAAACCAUAAUUGUUGGAAAAAUAAAGAGUCGUUGAAAGAAAAGUUGAAGAACCUUCGAGAAAACACCUAAAAAGUUCAUGGUAAGCACAAAUCUAAGGUAGAUCUGAAAGAAAUCGAAAGGUCUUAGAGAUUAGGAUUUCAUAAAACCCAAAAGAAACGUUAAAGAUCUCGAAAGUUAACGAUCUAACCAGAAAAGUCAAGCAUCGGCAUUGAAAAGGCCAUGAAUGGCCGGAGAAAGGUCGUGAAUGGUCGUAGAAAGGCCAUGACAACAAUCGAGCAGGACUGAACCAUAUUCCUUCAAUGACUAGCCAUGAAACCACAGUAAUAAACACUCAUGAGCCAUAGAAGGCUGGUACAUGUUCCAAAUGACCACGAGGGGCCAUAGAUUAGGUAGAUAUUAGGGUGGGGUUAGAUGGCGGCCGCUAGGGUUCAUGAGAGUUUCAGAGAGAGAUAAGAGAGAAUAAGGAUUCAAUGGCAGCGUUAGGUGUAAAAUGGGGUAGUGUAACGGAUUAUUUGAGGUUAAAAAUGGAACGGGCGAGUAUUAGCCAUUAAUCUGAAUGAUCAACGACCUGGAUUAAAGUAGGUAAGUGAGUGGGUUUAUGAAAUUGGGUUUGGGUCUGGUCUGGUGGGUUUAAUUGGGUUAGAAUUGGGUUUAAAUUGGGCGAGGAUUUAGGCUAUAAUUGAAAUGUAGUUGGCUAUUAUUUAAAUAGUCAAUUUUCACUUUUA
Molecule: long non-coding RNA, 2605 nt
Filed under: Nicotiana benthamiana
Lineage: Eukaryota; Viridiplantae; Streptophyta; Magnoliopsida; Solanales; Solanaceae
Description: long non-coding RNA (NBEN_LNC029469)
Source: RNAcentral